UACGCAAGUAGUGAGGAAGGUGGGGAGUGACGUCAAAUCAGCACGGCCCUUACGUCCAGGGCUACACACGUGCUACAAUGGCCGGUACAAAGGGCAGCUACCUGGUGACAGGAUGCUAAUCUCAAAAGCCGGUCUCAGUUCGGAUCGGAGUCUGCAACCCGACUCCGUGAAGCUGGAAUCGCUAGUAAUCGUGGAUCAGCAUGCCACGGUGAAUACGUUCCCGGGCCUU
This 229-nucleotide ribosomal RNA is filed under the name uncultured Sphingobacteriales bacterium. RNAcentral describes it as "partial 16S ribosomal RNA". It matches the Rfam family "Bacterial small subunit ribosomal RNA", at positions 1154 to 1382 of the family's 1533-position model. Lineage: Bacteria; Pseudomonadati; Bacteroidota; Sphingobacteriia; Sphingobacteriales. The record is from RNAcentral.